Molecule: ribosomal RNA, 2481 nt
Filed under: Corynebacterium coyleae
Lineage: Bacteria; Bacillati; Actinomycetota; Actinomycetes; Mycobacteriales; Corynebacteriaceae
Description: partial 23S ribosomal RNA
Rfam family: Bacterial large subunit ribosomal RNA
Source: RNAcentral
UUGUUGUUUUGUGUUACGGGCGUAUGGUGGAUGCCUUGGCAUGCUGGGCCGAUGAAGGACGUGUGAGGCUGCGUUAAGCCUCGGGGAGUUGCCAACAGUGCGUUGAUCCGAGGAUGUCCGAAUGGGGAAACCCAACACCAGUUGUGUGGUGUUACCUGCAGGUGAAUGCAUAGCCUGUGUGGAGGUGACGUGGGGAAGUGAAACAUCUCAGUACCCACAGGAGAAGAAAACAAUUUGUGAUUCCGUGUGUAGUGGCGAGCGAUAGCGGAUGAGGCUAAACCGUGUGCGUGUGAUACCUGGGUAGGGGUUGCGUGUGCGGUGUUGUGGGGUGUGAUCGUUGCGGGCUACCUGACCGCAAGAUGGUGUGUGUGNNNNNNNNNNNNNNNNNNNNNNNNNNNNNNNNNNNNNNNNNNNNNNNNNNNNNNNNNNNNNNNNNNNNNNNNNNNNNNNNNNNNNNNNNUUGUCUGAUCAUGUUUUCCCCGAGUAGCAGCGGGCUCGUGAAAUCUGCUGUGAAUCUGCCGGGACCACCCGGUAAGCCUAAAUACCCAGUGUGACCGAUAGUGAAUAGUACCGUGAGGGAAUGGUGAAAAGUACCCCGGGAGGGGAGUGAAAGAGUUCCUGAAACCAUGCGCUUACAAUCCGUCAGAGCACCGUUUGUGUGUGAUGGCGUGCCUUUUGAAGAAUGAGCCUGCGAGUCAGCGGCAUGUCGCGAGGUUAACCCGUUAUGUGGGGUAGUCGUAGCGAAAGCGAAUCCUAAGAGGGUGUCAAGUGGCAUGUCCUGGACCCGAAGCGGGGUGAUCUACCCAUGGCCAGUGUGAAGCAGCUGUAAGAGGUUGUGGAGGCGCGAACCCACUUAGGUUGAAAACUGAGGGGAUGAGCUGUGGGUAGGGGUGAAAGGCCAAUCAAACUCCGUGAUAGCUGGUUCUCCCCGAAAUGCAUUUAGGUGCAGCGUGAUGUGUGCUUACCGGAGGUAGAGCUACUGGAUGGCCGAGCGGGACUAUCAUCUUAGUGACGUCAGCCAAACUCCGAAUGCCGGUGAAGUUUGAGCAUUGCAGUGAGACUGUGGGGGAUAAGCUUCAUAGUCGAGAGGGAAACAGCCCAGAUCGCCGGUUAAGGCCCCUAAGGGUGUGCUAAGUGGAAAAGGAUGUGGGAUCGCGAAGACAGCCAGGAGGUUGGCUUAGAAGCAGCCAUCCUUGAAAGAGUGCGUAAUAGCUCACUGGUCGAGUGGUUCUGCGCCGACAAUGUAGUGGGGCUCAAGCACACCGCCGAAGCCGCGGCAUAGUUUUUACUAUGGGUAGGGGAGCGUCGUGUGUGGGGUGAAGCCGUAUCGGAAGAAGCGGUGGACUGCACGCGAGUGAGAAUGCAGGCAUGAGUAACGAAUGAUACGUGAGAAUCGUAUCCGCCGAAUGACUAAGGGUUCCUGGGUCAAGUUCGUCUUCCCAGGGUGAGUCGGGUCCUAAGGCGAGGCCGACAGGCGUAGUCGAUGGUCAACGGGUUGAUAUUCCCGUACCCGUAUAUACGCGCCCAGUAUCGAAGCGGUGAUACUAACCACCCAGAUCCACCGACAUGCACAUCUUUGAUGUGUGGUUGGUGGUGAUGCGUGGGGCCUGAUCCGUUGUAGGUCAGUGAUGGGGUGACGCAGCAAGGUAGCCAAGCCGCUUAUUGGAUUGCGGUGCAAGCGUGUGGCACGACAGCAUGUCAAAUGCGGCUGUCAAUAGUGUGAGGCGUGAUGCGUAGCCCANNNNNNNNNNNNNNNNNNNNNNAUAUGGGUGAUGUUGGUGAUCCUCUACUGCCGAGAAAAGCCUCUAGCGAUGUGUGUAUACGGCCCGUACCCGAAACCGACACAGGUAGUCAAGUAGAGAAUACUCAGGCGGUCGGGAGAACUGUGGUUAAGGAACUCGGCAAAUUACCCCCGUAACUUCGGGAGAAGGGGGACCCAAACUGGUGCCCGAUCAUACGAUCGUGGUUGCUGGCGUGGGUCGCAGAGAAUAGAGGGGAGCGACUGUUUAUCAAAAACACAGGUCCGUGCGAAGACGAUGAAGUUGAUGUAUACGGACUGACGCCUGCCCGGUGCUGGAAGGUUAAGAGGACCUGUUAGGACAUUUUGUCCGAAGCGGAGAAUUUAAGCCCCAGUAAACGGCGGUGGUAACUAUAACCAUCCUAAGGUAGCGAAAUUCCUUGUCGGGUAAGUUCCGACCUGCACGAAUGGCGUAACGACUCCCCUGCUGUCUCAACCACAGACCCGGUGAAAUUGCACUACGAGUAAAGAUGCUCGUUACGCGCGGCAGGACGAAAAGACCCCGGGACCUUCACUAUAGCUUGGUAUUGGCAUUCGGUGCGGUUUGUGUAGGAUAGGUGGGAGACUGAGAUACGGCCACGCCAGUGGUUGUGGAGUCGUUGUUGAAAUACCACUCUGACCGUAGUGGAUAUCUAACCUUGGCCCAUGAUCUGGGUUGGGGACAGUGCCUGGUGGGUAGUUUA